AGAGUUUGAUCAUGGCUCAGAUUGAACGCUGGCGGCAUGCUUUACACAUGCAAGUCGAGCGGCAGCGCGGGGGGCAACCCUGGCGGCGAGCGGCGAACGGGUGAGUAAUGCAUCGGAACGUGUCCCGUAAUGGGGGAUAACGCCGCGAAAGCGGCGCUAAUACCGCAUACGCUCUACGGAGGAAAGUGGGGGAUCCGCAAGGACCUCACGUUAGGGGAGCGGCCGAUGUCCGAUUAGCUAGUUGGUGGGGUAACGGCCCACCAAGGCGACGAUCGGUAGCUGGUCUGAGAGGAUGAUCAGCCACACUGGGACUGAGACACGGCCCAGACUCCUACGGGAGGCAGCAGUGGGGAAUUUUGGACAAUGGGGGCAACCCUGAUCCAGCCAUGCCGUGUGCGGGAAGAAGGCCUUCGGGUUGUAAACCGCUUUUAGCCGGGAAGAAAAGGCGCGAGUUAAUACCUUGCGUUUUUGACGGUACCGGCGGAAUAAGCACCGGCUAACUACGUGCCAGCAGCCGCGGUAAUACGUAGGGUGCGAGCGUUAAUCGGAAUUACUGGGCGUAAAGCGUGCGCAGGCGGUUCGUUGUGUCGGUGGUGAAAGCCCCGGGCUUAACCUGGGAAUGGCCAUGGAAACUGGCGAACUGGAGUGUGGCAGAGGGGGGUGGAAUUCCGCGUGUAGCAGUGAAAUGCGUAGAGAUGCGGAGGAACACCGAUGGCGAAGGCAGCCCCCUGGGCUAGCACUGACGCUCAGGCACGAAAGCGUGGGGAGCAAACAGGAUUAGAUACCCUAGUAGUCC
Molecule: ribosomal RNA, 796 nt
Filed under: uncultured bacterium
Lineage: Bacteria
Description: bacterial SSU rRNA
Rfam family: Bacterial small subunit ribosomal RNA
Source: RNAcentral